CUUUCGUUCUCCUCUAUUAAAAUGGCCCAAAGUCUAACUCUUCAACAUAGAUCAAUUGGUUAGUAUUGGGCUUGUUAUGCCAUCCUUCUCUGAACCAUUCACCCCCAACCAUUUUCUGCUUCAAACCUUGAAUUACUUUUAGGCAACUUUGCUCUUUCAAGCCUUUUAAGGUAACAUACUUCAAAAACAAAAAAGAGUUAGAACCAUGAGUAGCAGAAAUGAAAGCUAUCCAAAACUUGGCUUGGAUUUGAACCUACCCCCACCAACGAUUGUUAACCAUAGACUUGAGUCCCCGGCUCGAUCAACAACGGUCUUACCAACAUCACCAUCAAACUCAUGUGUGUCCACUGAACUCAACCAAGAUGACAACAACAACAAUAAUAGCAACAACAAUCUUGAAUACUCCAACAACUCUGAAGCCAUUUUUGUGGUGCUAGUAGGGUGCUCUUACUGCCUUAUGUAUCUGAUGGUCAAUGAAGGUGACCUCAAGUGCCCCAAAUGCAAAAGCACCAAUUUGAUUCAUUUUCUUAAUUUCAACAACAUCCCAUAAGGAGGGGACACAAUGUUAUGCUACCUUGUCGUGAUUUCUGCAUUUUGUGUUGCAAGUAGGAUAUGUUAGAUUUUAAAAAAAGAAAUCUCCUUUUUAGGAUAUUUCUUUCAUAUCAUGUUUUCUCUCUUUUUUCUAAACCUUUUUUUAUGAGUUAUGCUACUUGCACUCCACUUUAUACCAUUAUCUCCUGUACUUAGUAAGGAAAUCACAAAAGAGUUGAGUGUAAGUAGCACAACAUGUCAAGAGGUUAUGCUUAAUAAAUGGUUGUCUAACCAA
Glycine soja is the source of this 826-nucleotide long non-coding RNA. RefSeq lists it as uncharacterized. The transcript has 2 exons. Lineage: Eukaryota; Viridiplantae; Streptophyta; Magnoliopsida; Fabales; Fabaceae. The record is from RefSeq and is a predicted model, not a curated record.